Molecule: long non-coding RNA, 1277 nt
Filed under: Numida meleagris (helmeted guineafowl)
Lineage: Eukaryota; Metazoa; Chordata; Aves; Galliformes; Numididae
Description: lncRNA (ENSNMEG00000020431.1)
Source: RNAcentral
UCUGUAUAUCUCACUGGCCAUGCGGAUGCAGUGUACAAAUGGAAAAAACCCUGCAGACCCUGAGAAGAAUAAAAGCAGGAGAGAGUCUGUGGUGGGUGAGAGAGGAGAAGUGCACCUUGAAGCAGGGGACGCCCUGCUGGCACUACCUAUCGCACCCACUGCUGCCGUGUUUCUUCUCUCUCCUUUCUGGUGGUUUGCCACCUUACAAGGGUCAGUAAGUAAUAAUAGAUUAGCUUAGGGAGUUUCUGAUUCCUGCUGUGUAUGUUCAUUGGAACUCAUUCCUUUUAAUGGGUUUAACAGUUGACUUCUUGUUAUUAUGCUGUUUGCCUUGUAUCUUUUCUUAUGUUUAGUGUGUUGUCAAUCGAGGUUCUGACUAUUAUUUUAUAGAAUGGUUAAAGAUUGAUAAGGAACUUAAGACUGCUUUUCACAAAGAGCAUCGGUCUCUCAAAAUCCUUGACAGCACCUGUUCUGACGAGGUGCAGUUGUGGAGCGUGACUGCUAGGAUUUUUGCCUCAUUCCUAGCCCCAGGAGUUGCUGCCGCCCAAGCCUUGAAACAGAUCGAACGUCUAGCGUGUUGGACUGUUAAACAGAGCAAUCAUACUUCAGAGAUCCUCGAAGAAAUGUUAGAAGAUAUGAACAGCCUUCGUCAUGCUGUGCUCCAGAAUCGAGCCGCUAUAGACUUUCUUUUACUUGCUCAAGGGCAUGGCUGUAAAGAAUUUGAUGGAAUGUGUUGUUUUAAUCUUUCUGAUCAUAGCGAAUCGAUUCAAAAAACAAAUUCAUUGGUUGCUUAAUCACACUUGAUCUAUUACUAAAGAUCAUAAUCCUAUUGAUGAUUGGCUGCGUUCUGUGUUUCCAGGUCUUACUCCUUGGAUAUAUGAUAUUAUUAAGGAAGGUUUCAAAUGGAUCUUAAUCAUUAUUCUACUUGUGAUAGUUGCUAGAAUAUUGUAUAGUUGUCUGCUGCGUGCUACUGCGCCAAAAGCUGCACUUGUUGUGACUGACAACAAGGAUUCGGACAUCAUUCGUGAUUGGCUACAAGAUCAAGGGGGGCACAAUCCUAAGGAUUGUUUUGCCUUACAGCCCUAAAAGAAAAAGGGGGGAAUUGUUGGAGGGCAGGUUGCUUGGCAGCACGUAGCUACUGAUUUACUAAUGAUUUACGAUGUAAUCUUAGAUGAAAGGAGCAAGUUAUACUUGCAUGGAAUGUGGUGUUUCUAGUAGAGUUCUGUNAAUCUGAGGAGAAACAAACUAAUUUACUAAAUAAAAUAUCAGAAUGCAAAACA